RNAcentral lists this long non-coding RNA (339 nucleotides) under Gallus gallus (chicken). RNAcentral's name for it is "lncRNA (ENSGALG00010000065.1)". Lineage: Eukaryota; Metazoa; Chordata; Aves; Galliformes; Phasianidae. The record is from RNAcentral.
CUCAAGAAGCCUUCUUACCAGCUUGCUCAUGUUGUGCUGUCCUGGUGUUGAAAGGAGAAGUUUUCAUGAUAGUCGCUUGGAGUGGUGAGAUUGCUCAUUUGCCUCCAAAGAGCUUCCGUGGAGAGUCCUGCAGACAGUGUGCACACAGGUUUGUGUCCCAGGCAGCUGUUGGAUGUAUAAAUAUGUUUUGCAUAGAUACAUGAUUGUAGUAAGUGCGUUUAUAUAUAUUUAUAUAUAAGCAUUAACAUAUUUUACUUGUGUAUGUGUGUGUAAAAUAUAUGGACUUAUUCCACUAGGGUAAUUCCAUCUAAAUUUCUACAGGGCAUCAAGGGCCUAUAG